UACGGAGGGUGCAAACGUUGCUCGGAAUCAUUGGGCGUAAAGCGCACGUAGGCGGUCUCGAAAGUCGGGUGUGAAAUCCCUAGGCUUAACCAAGGAAGUGCACUCGAAACUUCGAGACUUGAGUACUGGAGAGGAUCGCGGAAUUCUCGGUGUAGAGGUGAAAUUCGUAGAUAUCGGGAGGAACACCAGUGGCGAAGGCGGCGAUCUGGUCAGAUACUGACGCUGAGGUGCGAAAGCGUGGGGAGCAAACAGG
RNAcentral lists this ribosomal RNA (253 nucleotides) under uncultured bacterium. RNAcentral describes it as "partial 16S ribosomal RNA". It matches the Rfam family "Bacterial small subunit ribosomal RNA", at positions 524 to 776 of the family's 1533-position model. The record is from RNAcentral.